This 372-nucleotide ribosomal RNA is filed under the name Enterococcus faecalis. Its description in RNAcentral is "bacterial SSU rRNA". It matches the Rfam family "Bacterial small subunit ribosomal RNA", at positions 250 to 614 of the family's 1533-position model. Lineage: Bacteria; Bacillati; Bacillota; Bacilli; Lactobacillales; Enterococcaceae. The record is from RNAcentral.
UGGUGAGGUAACGGCUCACCAAGGCCACGAUGCAUAGCCGACCUGAGAGGGUGAUCGGCCACACUGGGACUGAGACACGGCCCAGACUCCUACGGGAGGCAGCAGUAGGGAAUCUUCGGCAAUGGACGAAAGUCUGACCGAGCAACGCCGCGUGAGUGAAGAAGGUUUUCGGAUCGUAAAACUCUGUUGUUAGAGAAGAACAAGGACGUUAGUAACUGAACGUCCCCUGACGGUAUCUAACCAGAAAGCCACGGCUAACUACGUGCCAGCAGCCGCGGUAAUACGUAGGUGGCAAGCGUUGUCCGGAUUUAUUGGGCGUAAAGCGAGCGCAGGCGGUUUCUUAAGUCUGAUGUGAAAGCCCCCGGCUCAACC